GUAGUCAUAUGCUUGUCUCAAAGAUUAAGCCAUGCAUGUCUAAGUAUAAGCAAUUAUACAGCGAAACUGCGAAUGGCUCAUUAUAUAAGUUAUCGUUUAUUUGAUAGUACCUUACUACUUGGAUAACCGUGGUAAUUCUAGAGCUAAUACAUGCUAAAAAUCCCGACUUCGGAAGGGAUGUAUUUAUUAGAUUAAAAACCAAUGCCCUUUGGGCUCCUUGGUGAUUCAUAAUAACUUUUCGAAUCGCAUGGCCUUGCGCCGGCGAUGGUUCAUUCAAAUUUCUUCCCUAUCAACUUUCGAUGUUUGGGUAUUGGCCAAACAUGGUCGCAACGGGUAACGGAGGGUUAGGGCUCGACCCCGGAGAAGGAGCCUGAGAAACGGCUACUACAUCCAAGGAAGGCAGCAGGCGCGCAAAUUACCCAAUCCCGAUUCGGGGAGGUAGUGACAAUAAAUACUGAUACAGGGCUCUUUUGGGUCUUGUAAUUGGAAUGAGUACAAUUUAAAUCCCUUAACGAGGAACAAUUGGAGGGCAAGUCUGGUGCCAGCAGCC
This 550-nucleotide ribosomal RNA is filed under the name Paracorniculantispora psalliotae. Its description in RNAcentral is "SSU rRNA". It matches the Rfam family "Eukaryotic small subunit ribosomal RNA", at positions 20 to 575 of the family's 1831-position model. The record is from RNAcentral. Lineage: Eukaryota; Fungi; Ascomycota; Sordariomycetes; Hypocreales; Cordycipitaceae.